Molecule: ribosomal RNA, 119 nt
Filed under: Lepisosteus oculatus (spotted gar)
Lineage: Eukaryota; Metazoa; Chordata; Actinopteri; Semionotiformes; Lepisosteidae
Source: RNAcentral
GCCAGCAGUUUUAUCACUCUGCAACUCACAACUGGCAACCCACUGAAGCUAAGCAGGUGUGAGCCUGGUCAGUACCUGGAUGGGAGACCUCCUGGAAAUACCUAAGGUUGCUGCUGGAA